CAUUCCUUCAUUAAAAUUAUCCCUUUAUCCCCCGACUUCUUCAACUAUCAUCAUCAUCUUCGUCUAUCUUCUUGCCCUAUCCUCCCUGAAAACAUUCCACAAUAUCCUGCUUUUAAAGCCAAAAAACAUGGAAAACGAUUGCUCCUUCCCCAUCCGCUUGUGAUGGAUGGCUUCCAUUGAUAUUUGAGGUAGAUGCGCCUUCAACUAGGAUAGAAGACACAGUAAAGAGAGGCAGCAAGCCUACCAGGGGCAUUGCAUGCAUCAUGAUUGCAAAAACAACUUAAAAGGAAAUAGCUGGCCUCUUCAAGGCACUUAACCUGCUCAGAAACCAACAAUAAUCAUCACC
This 346-nucleotide small RNA is filed under the name Histoplasma capsulatum. Its description in RNAcentral is "hypothetical RNA". Lineage: Eukaryota; Fungi; Ascomycota; Eurotiomycetes; Onygenales; Ajellomycetaceae. RNAcentral also lists the same sequence under 1 other name. The record is from RNAcentral.